AGUCCUCUUUUUCUUAAUUUUACAUUUUAUUGUAUCUGUAGUGUAGCUUGCAAGGAGCAUGGGUCACUAUAAAUACCCAGCUCCUCAUUGUAUUUUCCACUUUUGAGAUUAAUGAGAAUANAAUUUUCUAAAUUCAAGAAACUAUUCUCUCUUGANANUCACAAGGCUAGAGAGUCCAAAGACUCCCUCUAGCCACCUUCCAAGGCACACUUCCUAUUUUUCACUUUCCAUUUUCCCUUGUGCCUUCUCUCACGACGUCACUCCUCCACGCUGCACCACUCAUCAGAAGCCACAACUCUGCUUCUUGCGUCAGCGUCUCGACCACACAUUUUCAGUCUUCGUCCACGCAUCAGAAUCUAUCGCUUCUCAUCUUCAUUUCGCACAUCAGAUCUACACCACAGAGCCACAUUUUAUUUCUGUCCCGCGAGCUCAACUUCAUCGUUUCCUCUCUCGAGAGCUCGUCGUCGUCGCCAUCCAUAUUUCCCACACCGUAAACCAUUCUUUUUCCAUUUCUUUGCUUCUUCACCAUCACAGAACUUCAAACCUAGGGUUUCCUCUUCAUUUUCCACUUUCCUUUCAAUUUCACCGAUUACUUUCCAUUUUCUAUCGUUUAAAACCUCUCUUGAACCGAUCCGAAGCUUUUCCACC
RNAcentral lists this long non-coding RNA (648 nucleotides) under Vigna radiata. RNAcentral's name for it is "long non-coding RNA (VRAD_LNC016005)". The record is from RNAcentral. Lineage: Eukaryota; Viridiplantae; Streptophyta; Magnoliopsida; Fabales; Fabaceae.